This 460-nucleotide ribosomal RNA is filed under the name uncultured bacterium. RNAcentral's name for it is "partial 16S ribosomal RNA". It matches the Rfam family "Bacterial small subunit ribosomal RNA", at positions 338 to 795 of the family's 1533-position model. The record is from RNAcentral.
CCUACGGGAGGCAGCAGUGAGGCAUAUUGGUCAAUGGGCGGAAGCCUGCACCAGCCAAGUAGCGUGCAGGAUGACGGCCCUACGGGUUGUAAACUGCUUUUAUACGGGAAUAACGCGCCUUACGUGUAGGGCUUUGCAUGUACCGUAUGAAUAAGGACCGGCUAAUUCCGUGCCAGCAGCCGCGGUCCUACGGAAGGUACGGGCGUUAUCCGGAUUUAUUGGGUUGAAAGGGAGCGUAGGCCGCAUGUCAAGCGUGCUGUGAAGUGUCCGGGCUCAACCCGGGCCUUGCAGCGCGAACUGGCGUGCUUGAGUCCGCGGAAAGCAGGCGGAAUUCGUCGUGUAGCGGUGAAAGGCUUAGAUAUGACGAAGAACCCCGAUUGCGAAGGCAGCUUGCUGCAGCGGAACUGACGCUGAUGCUCGAAAGCGCGGGUAUCGAACAGGAUUAGAUACCCCAGUAGUC